This 253-nucleotide ribosomal RNA is filed under the name uncultured bacterium. Its description in RNAcentral is "partial 16S ribosomal RNA". It matches the Rfam family "Bacterial small subunit ribosomal RNA", at positions 524 to 776 of the family's 1533-position model. The record is from RNAcentral.
UACGGAGGGUGCGAGCGUUGUCCGGAAUCACUGGGCGUAAAGGGCGCGUAGGCGGCCCGGUAAGUAGGGGGUGAAAUCUUGCGGCUUAACCGCAAGGCUGCCUUCUAAACUGCCAGGCUUGAGCACAGUAGAGGCAGGUGGAAUUCCCGGUGUAGCGGUGGAAUGCGUAGAGAUCGGGAAGAACAUCGGUGGCGAAGGCGGCUUGCUGGGCUUGGUCUGACGCUGAGGCGCGAAAGCGUGGGGAGCGAACAGG